Molecule: ribosomal RNA, 253 nt
Filed under: Dorea longicatena
Lineage: Bacteria; Bacillati; Bacillota; Clostridia; Lachnospirales; Lachnospiraceae
Description: partial 16S ribosomal RNA
Rfam family: Bacterial small subunit ribosomal RNA
Source: RNAcentral
UACGUAGGGGGCAAGCGUUAUCCGGAUUUACUGGGUGUAAAGGGAGCGUAGACGGCACGGCAAGCUAGAUGUGAAAGCCCGGGGCUCAACCCCGGGACUGCAUUUGGAACUGCUGAGCUAGAGUGUCGGAGAGGCAAGUGGAAUUCCUAGUGUAGCGGUGAAAUGCGUAGAUAUUAGGAGGAACACCAGUGGCGAAGGCGGCUUGCUGGACGAUGACUGACGUUGAGGCUCGAAAGCGUGGGGAGCAAACAGG